AAUUAAGGUUAAAUGAGUCGGAGUGUGGAGCCCUAAUCUAAUAGGACUGGUGUCCUUAUAAGAAAACGAAGAGACAUCAGAGAGCCCUCUCUCCACACACAGAGAAAAAGUCACGUGAGCACACAGCGAGAAGAAGGCCGUUUGCAAGCAGGAAGAGAGCCUUUACCAGAACCCAAAUUUUCUAGCAGCUUGAUUGUGGACUUGCAGCUUCCAGAACUGUUCUGGGGACUGGGACGUGGACAUCUUUGGAGGGCCAUCAACACUGAGUUCAGCCAAAGAGGAGCCUGUGUGCUGGAGCCCACCCACCCCCCAGACCCAGAGACAGAAGGGAGGAGGGGACCAUACGGAGUUUGGUUCAGCUCCACUGGGCGGCCUCCUUGGCUCUGUCAGCCUUGCUGCUCUGCGAGGGUCUUGUCACUGAAUCAAGGAUGGUGGCAACUCAGCUGGUUUCCAGGACUUGCAAGGGAGAUAACACCCAACUUCAGCUUGGGACAAUUCUGCUUCUUCCACUUCCUAGAGAGGCGUUUCCUUCCUCCCUUCAUCCACUUCUUCUCUGAGAAGUCUCAGGUGGGAAACAGUUUCAGAACAGUGACACUUCAUCUACCUGGAGCGCAUUUACUUAGCGAAGUCAACUGUUUUGAUCCUGGCUAAAGAUCUGAAAGGAGGAGGAAGGAACCACAAGCAUUCAACAGAAGUCAUAAGCCCUUAA
RNAcentral lists this long non-coding RNA (709 nucleotides) under Equus caballus (horse). RNAcentral describes it as "lncRNA (ENSECAG00000057273.1)". Lineage: Eukaryota; Metazoa; Chordata; Mammalia; Perissodactyla; Equidae. The record is from RNAcentral.